Non-coding RNA from Oryza meridionalis, 204 nucleotides. NCBI's taxonomy places the organism in Eukaryota, Viridiplantae, Streptophyta, Magnoliopsida, Poales, Poaceae. The record is from Rfam.
UUUAAGUGCAACCAUGAGUUUUUACGCCCAACUUUAAUUAUUCGUCUUAUUUGAAUUUUUUUAUAAUUAGUAUUUUUGUUAUUAUGGGAUGAUAAACAUGAAUAUUUCUUUACUCAUGACUUAUAUUUUUAAUUUUUUUUUUAAAAAAAUUCAAAUAAGACGGACGUUUAUAGUUGGACACGGAAAACUAUGGCUACACAUAAA